This 60-nucleotide microRNA precursor is filed under the name Scyliorhinus torazame (cloudy catshark). Its description in RNAcentral is "Sto-Mir-22-P1a_pre stem-loop". It matches the Rfam family "mir-22 microRNA precursor family", at positions 16 to 74 of the family's 84-position model. The record is from RNAcentral. Lineage: Eukaryota; Metazoa; Chordata; Chondrichthyes; Carcharhiniformes; Scyliorhinidae.
CGUUCUUCACUGGCUAGCUUUACUGCUGUACUUUGGUAAAGCUGCCAGUUGAAGAGCUGU